RNAcentral lists this ribosomal RNA (485 nucleotides) under uncultured Nocardioides sp. RNAcentral describes it as "partial 16S ribosomal RNA". The record is from RNAcentral. Lineage: Bacteria; Bacillati; Actinomycetota; Actinomycetes; Propionibacteriales; Nocardioidaceae.
CACGUAGUUGGCCGGUGCUUCUUCUGCGGGUACCGUCACUUGCGCUUCGUCCCCACUGAAAGAGGUUUACAACCCGAAGGCAGUCAUCCCUCACGCGGCGUUGCUGGAUCAGGCUUCCGCCCAUUGUCCAAUAUUCCCCACUGCUGCCUCCCGUAGGAGCCUGGGCCGUGUCUCAGUCCCAGUGUGGCCGGUCACCCUCUCAGGCCGGCUACCCGUCGAAGCCUUGGUGAGCCAUUACCUCACCAACAAGCUGAUAGGCCGCGAGCACAUCCCCCACCGAAAAAACUUUCCACCACCAUCCCAUGCAGGAAGCGGUCGUAUCCGGUAUUAGACCUCGUUUCCGAGGCUUAUCCCAAAGUGGAGGGCAGAUUACUCACGUGUUACUCACCCGUUCGCCGCUCGUGUACCCCCGAAAGGGCCUUACCGCUCGACUUGCAUGUGUUAAGCACGCCGCCAGCGUUCGUCCUGAGCCAGGAUCAAACUCU